Long non-coding RNA from Mangifera indica (mango), 344 nucleotides. RefSeq lists it as uncharacterized. The record is from RefSeq and is a predicted model, not a curated record. The transcript has 2 exons. NCBI's taxonomy places the organism in Eukaryota, Viridiplantae, Streptophyta, Magnoliopsida, Sapindales, Anacardiaceae.
GGUUUGUGUUUCCUCCAUUAUGGUACUAUGCCACUGUUCUUUACUUUGGGAAUUAUUAUCUCAAAGAUCCAAGGGAGCGAUCUGGCCUCGCCGCAUCAGCAAUUGCUGCUUUGAUUUGCUCUGUUGCUCUCUUGGUUGUUCUUCUUACUGUGAUCUUGUAGCAAGUAUUUCAGUGCCACCAGGUACUUUGGUUCAACCAUGAAUAGAUAGGAUAGGAGCAUAGCAGAUUAUUGUGGUAAGGAGAAAGCCUUCUAAACUAUAAAUUGCAGAGUUUGUGACAUUCUUCCUGUAACAAAAUUCUUAGUUAUAUUACUGCAAAAUUUAUGAAUUUGUUGUGUUGAUAA